CCUACGGGAGGCAGCAGUGGGGAAUAUUGCACAAUGGGCGAAAGCCUGAUGCAGCAACGCCGCGUGAAGGAAGACGGUUUUCGGAUUGUAAACUUCUAUCAAUAGGGAAGAAAGAAAUGACGGUACCUAAAUAAGAAGCCCCGGCUAACUACGUGCCAGCAGCCGCGGUAAUACGUAGGGGGCAAGCGUUAUCCGGAUUUACUGGGUGUAAAGGGAGCGUAGACGGCGGUGCAAGCCAGAUGUGAAAGCCCGGGGCUCAACCCCGGGACUGCAUUUGGAACUGUGCUGCUAGCGUGUCGGAGAGG
Molecule: ribosomal RNA, 305 nt
Filed under: uncultured bacterium
Lineage: Bacteria
Description: bacterial SSU rRNA
Rfam family: Bacterial small subunit ribosomal RNA
Source: RNAcentral